Molecule: ribosomal RNA, 765 nt
Filed under: Phocaeicola dorei
Lineage: Bacteria; Pseudomonadati; Bacteroidota; Bacteroidia; Bacteroidales; Bacteroidaceae
Description: bacterial SSU rRNA
Rfam family: Bacterial small subunit ribosomal RNA
Source: RNAcentral
CCAGGAUGAACGCUAGCUACAGGCUUAACACAUGCAAGUCGAGGGGCAGCAUGGUCUUAGCUUGCUAAGGCCGAUGGCGACCGGCGCACGGGUGAGUAACACGUAUCCAACCUGCCGUCUACUCUUGGACAGCCUUCUGAAAGGAAGAUUAAUACAAGAUGGCAUCAUGAGUCCGCAUGUUCACAUGAUUAAAGGUAUUCCGGUAGACGAUGGGGAUGCGUUCCAUUAGAUAGUAGGCGGGGUAACGGCCCACCUAGUCUUCGAUGGAUAGGGGUUCUGAGAGGAAGGUCCCCCACAUUGGAACUGAGACACGGUCCAAACUCCUACGGGAGGCAGCAGUGAGGAAUAUUGGUCAAUGGGCGAGAGCCUGAACCAGCCAAGUAGCGUGAAGGAUGACUGCCCUAUGGGUUGUAAACUUCUUUUAUAAAGGAAUAAAGUCGGGUAUGGAUACCCGUUUGCAUGUACUUUAUGAAUAAGGAUCGGCUAACUCCGUGCCAGCAGCCGCGGUAAUACGGAGGAUCCGAGCGUUAUCCGGAUUUAUUGGGUUUAAAGGGAGCGUAGAUGGAUGUUUAAGUCAGUUGUGAAAGUUUGCGGCUCAACCGUAAAAUUGCAGUUGAUACUGGAUAUCUUGAGUGCAGUUGAGGCAGGCGGAAUUCGUGGUGUAGCGGUGAAAUGCUUAGAUAUCACGAAGAACUCCGAUUGCGAAGGCAGCCUGCUAAGCUGCAACUGACAUUGAGGCUCGAAAGUGUGGGUAUCAACAGGAUA